Molecule: ribosomal RNA, 253 nt
Filed under: uncultured bacterium
Lineage: Bacteria
Description: partial 16S ribosomal RNA
Rfam family: Bacterial small subunit ribosomal RNA
Source: RNAcentral
UACGGAGGGUGCAAGCGUUAUCCGGAUUCACUGGGUUUAAAGGGUGCGUAGGUGGGCAGGUAAGUCAGUGGUGAAAUCUCCGGGCUUAACCCGGAAACUGCCGUUGAUACUAUUUGCCUUGAAUAUUGUGGAGGUAAGCGGAAUAUGUCAUGUAGCGGUGAAAUGCUUAGAUAUGACAUAGAACACCAAUUGCGAAGGCAGCUUACUACACAACGAUUGACGCUGAGGCACGAAAGCGUGGGGAUCAAACAGG